CAAACGGGUGAGUAACACGUGGACAACCUGCCCUCAAGUGGGGAAUAACGCUGCGAAAGCAGUGCUAAUACCGCAUAAGCUCGCGAGAGUAAAGCUUCGGCGCUUGAGGAGGGGUCCGCGUCUGAUUAGCUAGAUGGUGGGGUAACGGCCUACCAUGGCGAUGAUCAGUAGCCGGCCUGAGAGGGCUGACGGCCACACUGGGACUGAGACACGGCCCAG
RNAcentral lists this ribosomal RNA (219 nucleotides) under uncultured bacterium. Its description in RNAcentral is "partial 16S ribosomal RNA". It matches the Rfam family "Bacterial small subunit ribosomal RNA", at positions 99 to 334 of the family's 1533-position model. The record is from RNAcentral.